CCUGUAAUCUCAUCAACAGAGAAUACAAAACUACACAAAUGGUUUUACAACUCUAUCAAGCACGUCACAACAUCAGAGGGCAGGAAGUCCUACUCUGUUUCCUAAAUCCCUGGACAAUAAAAAAGUUGUUGCGUU
This is a long non-coding RNA of Ornithodoros turicata, 135 nucleotides long. RefSeq lists it as uncharacterized. The transcript has 2 exons. Lineage: Eukaryota; Metazoa; Arthropoda; Arachnida; Ixodida; Argasidae. The record is from RefSeq and is a predicted model, not a curated record.